UUAUACCUACGGGGCGCAGCAGUGAGGAAUAUUGGUCAAUGGCCGGAAGGCUGAACCAGCCAAGCCGCGUGAAGGACGAAGGUGCCAAGCAUUGUAAACUUCUUUUGUCAAGGGACAAAAUCAGGCUCGAGAGCCUGACCGAGGGUACUUGAAGAAAAAGCAUCGGCUAACUCCGUGCCAGCAGCCGCGGUAAUACGGAGGAUGCGAGCGUUAUCCGGAUUUACUGGGUUUAAAGGGUGCGUAGGCGGGCUGUUAAGUCAGCGGUAAAAGCCCGGGGCUCAACCCUGGCCCGCCGUUGAAACUGG
RNAcentral lists this ribosomal RNA (305 nucleotides) under uncultured bacterium. RNAcentral describes it as "bacterial SSU rRNA". It matches the Rfam family "Bacterial small subunit ribosomal RNA", at positions 333 to 636 of the family's 1533-position model. The record is from RNAcentral.